This 450-nucleotide ribosomal RNA is filed under the name uncultured bacterium. Its description in RNAcentral is "partial 16S ribosomal RNA". It matches the Rfam family "Bacterial small subunit ribosomal RNA", at positions 338 to 795 of the family's 1533-position model. The record is from RNAcentral.
CCUACGGGGGGCUGCAGUGAGGAAUAUUGGGCAAUGCCCGCAAGGGUGACCCAGCAACGCCGCGUGGAGGAUGAAGGCCGUAAGGUUGUAAACUCCUGUUAGAGGAGAAGAAUAGUACCGAUUGGAUCGGUAUUUGACUGUACCCUCAGAGAAAGCCCCGGCUAACUACGUGCCAGCAGCCGCGGUAAUACGUAGGGGGCAGGCGUUGCCGGGAUUUACGGGGGGUAAGGGGGGCUCGGGAGGGAGAGGUGAAAUCCUACAGCUUAACUGUAGAACUGCCUUUGAUACUGUUAUUCUUGAGUUCGGGAGAGGGAGACGGAAUUCCAGGUGUAGUGGUGAAAUCCGUAGAUAUCUGGAAGAACACCAGUUGCGAAGGCGGUCUCUUGGUCCGAUACUGACGCUGAGGCGCGAAAGCGUGGGGAGCAAACAGGAUUAGAUACCCUAGUAGUC